UUUUAGCACCGUUCAUGUUCAAUAUUUGACCGUUCGUCUUAAUUAAAAAAAUUUUAUGAUUACUACUUUUAUUGUUAUUAGAUGAUAAAAUAUGAAUAGUACUUUAUGUGUGACUAAUUUUUUAAUAUUUUUCAUAAAUUUUUUAAAUAAGACGGAUGGUCAAAUCAAUAUCUAUGGCUGCAUUUAUU
Non-coding RNA from Oryza glaberrima (African rice), 188 nucleotides. NCBI's taxonomy places the organism in Eukaryota, Viridiplantae, Streptophyta, Magnoliopsida, Poales, Poaceae. The record is from Rfam.